Molecule: ribosomal RNA, 392 nt
Filed under: uncultured bacterium
Lineage: Bacteria
Description: partial 16S ribosomal RNA
Rfam family: Bacterial small subunit ribosomal RNA
Source: RNAcentral
AUACGGAGGAUCCGAGCGUUAUCCGGAUUUAUUGGGUUUAAAGGGUGCGCAGGCGGCCAUUUAAGUCAGCGGUUAAAUCGUGGGGCUCAACCCCAUUCUGCCGUUGAUACUGGGUGGCUUGAUUGCGGUCGAGGUUGGCGGAAUUCGUUGUGUAGCGGUGAAAUGCUUAGAUAUCACGAAGAACUCCGAUCGCGAAGGCAGCUCACAGGGCCGGAACUGACACUGAUGCUCGAAAGUGCGGGUAUCAAACAGGAUUAGAUACCCUGGUAGUCCGCACAGUAAACGAUGAAUACUCGCUGUUUGCGAUACACUGUAAGCGGCCAAGCGAAAGCGUUAAGUAUUCCACCUGGGGAGUACGCCGGCAACGGUGAAACUCAAAGGAAUUGACGGGG